CCGAGCACAUGGGCCCGCGGGCCGGGCGGGCUCGGGGCGGCCUGGACCCGGACGGGCGGCGAGGGGCCGCGCGCGGGGACGGGCCCCGGCACCCCCCGGGCCCCCCGAGCGGAUUUCCACGCCGAGAGGAUGUUGGCAGCGCCGGCGACCUGCCGAGACGCGGCGGGAUCCACCUUCCA
Molecule: long non-coding RNA, 179 nt
Organism: Felis catus (domestic cat)
Lineage: Eukaryota; Metazoa; Chordata; Mammalia; Carnivora; Felidae
Rfam family: Pvt1 oncogene conserved region 1
Source: Rfam